GCUGAUUCUAGAUCUUGAAAGCCACUGAUGUGAACUCAUUGUUGUCACCAUGACUGAAGCCCUCAUUUCGGCUGUCCUGAAUUUGACUGAAACCAAUGCACUGGCCAACAAUGUGACCAGCAAUGCCACUAACAAGUGUUCCUUGACCAAAACCGGUUUUCAGUUCUAUUACUUGCCAGCUGUCUAUAUCGUAGUCUUCAUCACUGGAUUCCUAGGCAACAGCGUGGCCAUCUGGAUGUUUGUCUUCCACAUGAGGCCAUGGAGUGGCAUCUCAGUUUACAUGUUCAAUUUAGCCCUAGCAGACUUCUUGUACGUCCUGACACUCCCUGCCCUAAUAUUCUACUACUUCAAUCAAACGGACUGGAUCUUUGGAGAUUUCAUGUGCAAGCUGCAGAGAUUUAUCUUUCAUGUCAAUCUAUAUGGAAGCAUCUUGUUCCUCACAUGUAUCAGUGUGCACAGAUACACUGGGGUGGUGCAUCCUUUGAAAUCAUUAGGGAGACUGAAAAAAAAGAAUGCUGUUUACAUCAGCGCCCUGGUCUGGGUUAUCGUGGUGGUGGCAAUCUCUCCCAUCUUCUUUUACUCUGGAACUGAAGUAAGGAAAGUCAAAACCAUGGCGUGCUAUGACACAACAGUAGACAAUUACCUGCGUAGCUACUUUAUUUACAGCAUGUGCACCACUGUCUUCUUGUUUUGCAUCCCGUUCAUUCUGAUCCUCGGUUGCUAUGGAUUAAUCGUGAAAGCACUGAUUUACAAAGAUUUAGACAAUUCUCCGCUUAGGAGGAAAUCAAUUUACUUGGUUAUUAUAGUGUUGGCAGUAUUUGCUGUGUCUUAUCUUCCUUUCCACGUGAUGAAAAACUUGAAUCUACGCGCCCGGCUGGAUUUUCAGACUCCGGAAAUGUGUGCAUUUAACAACAGGGUUUAUGCUACCUACCAAGUAACUCGAGGGCUAGCGAGUCUCAACAGCUGCGUGGAUCCUAUUUUAUAUUUUUUGGCUGGAGACACUUUUCGUAGAAAGCUCUCAAGGGCAACUCGGAAAGCCUCAAGACGGAGUGAGCUCAAUGUGCAAUCCAAAAGAAUCUGGUAACAGGAAAGAUCUUUAGAAUGGACUUCUCUUGCUUCAGAAGAUGCUACAUCAGGGAUAUAGAGGCUACCGGAUCAGACGAAUGAAAUGAAAACAUUCACAAACUGCCAAUAAUGUGAAUCUCACCAACUCUGUGAGAUGAGCUGGGCUGAGACAGACUGAUUGGUCCACAGUCACUCAGCUGGUUUUCAUGUCUACAGUGGGACUAGAACUCACAGUCUCCUGGUUUCUAACCUGUGGCCUCUAGACAAAGCUGGCUCUACUUUUGUUUCUUCCUUUUGAAUUAGUUGAUGGUGUAAUUGCUCUAAAAUUUCCAAAUCCUGUUGAGGAGUUCUGACAUGCAUCAUUCCCCUUGGAUGAAAAAUUCCUGAAAAUACUGAUGGGGAUCCACUGCUAGAAUUUGAGUCAAAACCAAUUCCCUCAAAGCCCAAUUAAGAUGCGAAUCGCAAAACCAUCUAUAGUGCUUCAUCCACCCACUUCUCUCUACAAUAAUUCUCACUGUCAGCAAAACUAGUGACAUAAGAGUCUGGAUAUCUGCAUCUCAUUCAUUCUUUGCUUUGCAACUUGACCUAGGAAUGAAAAGAAAAUUGUAUAUUGCAUUAGCAUUUAAAAUUAAGAAGUAAGAAAGAAGAAAAGAAGGGAGAAAAAUAACUGGAAAACAUGCAGCAUUAACAUGGUAAAUGACUACUUAAAUGAAAAUGCAUCUUCACUGAGCAUGUUGGGCUGAGCAUAAUGUGGUACAGGGUUUUUCUCUCUCUCAGUACAGCACAGUGUGUACUGAAAAUUCCUCCAAAUUUGUAACAAGUGAAUGAAAGGAAAGCUGUUCUCACACACACAAUGAGCUUCACACGGAUUCAAAAGAAGCUUGACCCUGAGACCAGCCCUGAAAUGCUCCCAGCCCUGUCUUCCAAACUCAGCCAAGAAACCAACUACUGCCAAAUACUCUGACGAUAAUCACUCUUUUGUUUGGGUUCUACUUGGCGAGAUCACUAACCUUCUCCAACAUGCAAAUCUAUAUGCCAGCUUUUACAUCCAUCGCUCAACACAAAGAUGGGUACUAUUGUCUUCCUUAAUACAUUGCUUCCGGUGCUUCAAAGGAGUAAUGAAAAAGCAUCUUCUUAACUGCCUUCCUUAAGAUUAGCAGUGAAGGGCCCAACAUGACUCUAGGGCAGGAGCUCCAUAAGGCUGGCGUGACAGUUACAAGUGCUUUUUCCCCCCCACCAGAGCCUCAAACUCAACCAUAUGUGAUUUGGAAAGUCUUCUACAUAUUAUCUGAGCUUGCAUACAAAGGAUGGUAGAUGCCACUUGUAAUAGACAGUCUCCUAGAUAAUGCAAGUAAUAAGUAAUAUAAAAUAAGAUUUACAGGUACAAAUCCUAUUUGUUUAAUGGAUCUUACUGUGGUUAACAGCAUCUAGCAUAGACAACUGUGCAAGGGAACACAACUCUAAUUGCUUGCUAAUAGAAAACCUCUGAAUAAGACACUAAAGAUUAUGUCACUGAUCAAUAUGAAUGACUGCAACUAAGCUGCGACAUUUUUCAAAUAGAUGAGUGGUCUAUUAGCACUUCAGUGACAGGAAGUUGUUCUGAAAUAAAAAAAGAGCAAUUCCAUAUAAGAAUGUGUUGGAUGCCAGCCAAAUACACACAGAGACAAGACAGCCAUUCAUGCAUAUUCUUAAGAUCAUUGGAUCCUCAGCACAAUCAUAGUUUUGCCAUUCUCAAUCUUAUUUGUAACUCCCAGCAUUUCCAGCAGUAGGAGACCUACAUACAAUAUCCCAUUUUACAGAGGACACUCCUCUAUAUCUGAAGGACAGUUUAUCCAUGCCCCAUUUUAAAGAAGGCUAGAUAUCACUAAUUAUCACGUCAGCAGAUUAAAUAGGUAGCGCAGAAGUUAUUUUGGUAGUUUUCCUUACUGUGGUGUUGUGUAUGUACAUGAACAGAUAUAUUAAGAGUUCUACUCUAUUAUAAUAAAAGCACUUCUCAUGAUAUA
This is a non-coding RNA of Thamnophis sirtalis, 3068 nucleotides long. The record is from RefSeq and is a predicted model, not a curated record. NCBI's taxonomy places the organism in Eukaryota, Metazoa, Chordata, Lepidosauria, Squamata, Natricidae.